GAUGAACGCUGGCGGCGUGCCUAAUACAUGCAAGUCGAGCGAACGGACGAGAAGCUUGCUUUUCUGAUGUUAGCGGCGGACGGGUGAGUAACACGUGGAUAACCUACCUAUAAGACUGGGAUAACUUCGGGAAACCGGAGCUAAUACCGGAUAAUAUUUUGAACCGCAUGGUUCAAAAGUGAAAGACGGUCUUGCUGUCACUUAUAGAUGGAUCCGCGCUGCAUUAGCUAGUUGGUAAGGUAACGGCUUACCAAGGCAACGAUGCAUAGCCGACCUGAGAGGGUGAUCGACCACACUGGAACUGAGACACGGUCCAGACUCCUACGGGAGGCAGCAGUAGGGAAUCUUCCGCAAUGGGCGGAAGCCUGACGGAGCAACGCCGCGUGAGUGAUGAAGGUCUUCGGAUCGUAAAACUCUGUUAUUAGGGAAGAACAUAUGUGUAAGUAACUGUGCACAUCUUGACGGUACCUAAUCAGAAAGCCACGGCUAACUACGUG
Molecule: ribosomal RNA, 497 nt
Filed under: uncultured bacterium
Lineage: Bacteria
Description: partial 16S ribosomal RNA
Rfam family: Bacterial small subunit ribosomal RNA
Source: RNAcentral